AUUGAACGCUGGCGGCAUGCUUUACACAUGCAAGUCGAACGGCAGCGCGGGCUUCGGCCUGGCGGCGAGUGGCGAACGGGUGAGUAAUGCAUCGGAACGUGCCCAGUAGUGGGGGAUAGCCCGGCGAAAGCCGGAUUAAUACCGCAUACGACCUGAGGGUGAAAGCGGGGGACCGAAAGGCCUCGCGCUAUUGGAGCGGCCGAUGUCGGAUUAGCUAGUUGGAGGGGUAAAGGCUUACCCAGGCGACGAUCCGUAGCUGGUCUGAGAGGACGACCAGCCACACUGGGACUGAGAAACGGCCCAGACUCCUACGGGAGGCAGCAGUGGGGAAUUUUGGACAAUGGGGGCAACCCUGAUCCAGCCAUGCCGCGUGCGGGAAGAAGGCCUUCGGGUUAUAAACCGCUUUUGUUCGGGAAGAAAUCCUCUGGGCUAAUACCCCGGGGGGAUGACGGUACCGGAAGAAUAAGCACCGGCUAACUACGUG
This 484-nucleotide ribosomal RNA is filed under the name uncultured bacterium. Its description in RNAcentral is "partial 16S ribosomal RNA". It matches the Rfam family "Bacterial small subunit ribosomal RNA", at positions 29 to 507 of the family's 1533-position model. The record is from RNAcentral.